RNAcentral lists this ribosomal RNA (652 nucleotides) under uncultured organism. RNAcentral's name for it is "bacterial SSU rRNA". It matches the Rfam family "Bacterial small subunit ribosomal RNA", at positions 280 to 932 of the family's 1533-position model. The record is from RNAcentral.
CGGAGAGGGAGCAUGAGAGGGCGUACGGCCACACUGGGACUGAGACACGGCCCAGACUCCUACGGGAGGCAGCAGUAGGGAAUCUUCCGCAAUGGGCGAAAGCCUGACGGAGCGACGCCACGUGGAUGACGAAGGCCUUCGGGUCGUAAAAUCCUGUCAGGGGGGACGAUGGUCGAUCUUCGGAUUGACUGACGGUACCCUCAGAGGAAGCUCCGGCCAACUACGUGCCAGCAGCCGCGGUAAUACGUAGGGAGCAAGCGUUGUUCGGAUUUACUGGGCGUAAAGAGUGCGUAGGCGGUUAUAUAAGUCAAAGGUGAAAUCUCCACUUUCAAGGUGGAAACUGCCUUCGAUACUGUAUAACUAGAGGGCAAGAGGGGGAAAUGGAACUCUGGGAGUAGCGGUGAAAUGCGUAGAUAUCCAGAGGAACGCCGGUAGCGAAGGCGAUUUCCUGGCUUGCAUCUGACGCUGAGGCACUAAAGCUAGGGUAGCGAUCGGGAUUAGAGACCCCGGUAGUCCUAGCCCUAAACGAUGGGUACUAAGUGUGGGGGGAGCAUUACCCUCCGUGCUGAAGUUAACACGUUAAGUACCCCGCCUGGGGAGUACGGUCGCAAGACUGAAACACAAAAGAAUUGACGGGGGGCUGAACAAGCAG